GUGUCUGAUUAAAAAGUAAUAAAUUGUAAAUUUAUAAAUAAAAUAAUAAAUUUUGA
Molecule: transfer RNA, 56 nt
Filed under: Diptera sp. 53 LC-2017
Lineage: Eukaryota; Metazoa; Arthropoda; Insecta; Diptera
Description: tRNA-Tyr
Source: RNAcentral